Molecule: small RNA, 84 nt
Filed under: Pantoea ananatis
Lineage: Bacteria; Pseudomonadati; Pseudomonadota; Gammaproteobacteria; Enterobacterales; Erwiniaceae
Source: RNAcentral
CUUUUGCCCGCAGGGAGGCGGGCAAAAGGCAUGGCUGGCACAGGACGGUUCCGCCUGUGCCGGUAGGUCAGGCAAACAUAACCU